This 1048-nucleotide ribosomal RNA is filed under the name Salmonella enterica subsp. enterica serovar Mikawasima. RNAcentral's name for it is "bacterial SSU rRNA". It matches the Rfam family "Bacterial small subunit ribosomal RNA", at positions 1 to 1038 of the family's 1533-position model. The record is from RNAcentral. Lineage: Bacteria; Pseudomonadati; Pseudomonadota; Gammaproteobacteria; Enterobacterales; Enterobacteriaceae.
AAAUUGAAGAGUUUGAUCAUGGCUCAGAUUGAACGCUGGCGGCAGGCCUAACACAUGCAAGUCGAACGGUAACAGGAAGCAGCUUGCUGCUUCGCUGACGAGUGGCGGACGGGUGAGUAAUGUCUGGGAAACUGCCUGAUGGAGGGGGAUAACUACUGGAAACGGUGGCUAAUACCGCAUAACGUCGCAAGACCAAAGAGGGGGACCUUCGGGCCUCUUGCCAUCAGAUGUGCCCAGAUGGGAUUAGCUUGUUGGUGAGGUAACGGCUCACCAAGGCGACGAUCCCUAGCUGGUCUGAGAGGAUGACCAGCCACACUGGAACUGAGACACGGUCCAGACUCCUACGGGAGGCAGCAGUGGGGAAUAUUGCACAAUGGGCGCAAGCCUGAUGCAGCCAUGCCGCGUGUAUGAAGAAGGCCUUAGGGUUGUAAAGUACUUUCAGCGGGGAGGAAGGUGUUGCGGUUAAUAACCGCAGCAAUUGACGUUACCCGCAGAAGAAGCACCGGCUAACUCCGUGCCAGCAGCCGCGGUAAUACGGAGGGUGCAAGCGUUAAUCGGAAUUACUGGGCGUAAAGCGCACGCAGGCGGUCUGUCAAGUCGGAUGUGAAAUCCCCGGGCUCAACCUGGGAACUGCAUUCGAAACUGGCAGGCUUGAGUCUUGUAGAGGGGGGUAGAAUUCCAGGUGUAGCGGUGAAAUGCGUAGAGAUCUGGAGGAAUACCGGUGGCGAAGGCGGCCCCCUGGACAAAGACUGACGCUCAGGUGCGAAAGCGUGGGGAGCAAACAGGAUUAGAUACCCUGGUAGUCCACGCCGUAAACGAUGUCUACUUGGAGGUUGUGCCCUUGAGGCGUGGCUUCCGGAGCUAACGCGUUAAGUAGACCGCCUGGGGAGUACGGCCGCAAGGUUAAAACUCAAAUGAAUUGACGGGGGCCCGCACAAGCGGUGGAGCAUGUGGUUUAAUUCGAUGCAACGCGAAGAACCUUACCUGGUCUUGACAUCCACAGAAGAAUCCAGAGAUGGAUUUGUGCCUUCGGGAACUGUGAGACAGG